UGGCUCAGGAUGAACGCUGGCGGCGUGCCUAAUACAUGCAAGUCGAACGGAGAUGCCUUUUCAGAAGCUUCGGCGGACGAGUUGGUAUUCUUCGUGGCGGACGGGUGAGUAACACGUGAGCAACCUGCCUUUCAGAGGGGGAUAACGGCUGGAAACGGUCGCUAAUACCGCAUGACACAUCGGGAUGGCAUCUUCCUGAUAUCAAAGGAGCAAUCCGCUGAAAGAUGGGCUCGCGUCUGAUUAGAUAGUUGGUGGGGUAACGGCCUACCAAGUCGACGAUCAGUAGCCGGACUGAGAGGUUGAACGGCCACAUUGGGACUGAGAUACGGCCCAGACUCCUACGGGAGGCAGCAGUGGGGAAUA
This 363-nucleotide ribosomal RNA is filed under the name uncultured rumen bacterium. RNAcentral's name for it is "bacterial SSU rRNA". It matches the Rfam family "Bacterial small subunit ribosomal RNA", at positions 20 to 363 of the family's 1533-position model. The record is from RNAcentral.